This 254-nucleotide ribosomal RNA is filed under the name uncultured bacterium. Its description in RNAcentral is "partial 16S ribosomal RNA". It matches the Rfam family "Bacterial small subunit ribosomal RNA", at positions 524 to 776 of the family's 1533-position model. The record is from RNAcentral.
UACGUAGGGGGCAAGCGUUGUCCGGAAUCAUUGGGCGUAAAGAGCGUGUAGGCGGUUCGGUAAGUCGGCUGUGAAAGUCCAGGGCUCAACCCUGGGAUGCCGGUCGAUACUGCCGGACUAGAGUUCGGAAGAGGCGAGUGGAAUUCCCGGUGUAGCGGUGAAAUGCGCAGAUAUCGGGAGGAACACCUAUGGCGAAGGCAGCUCGCUGGGACGUUACUGACGCUGGAGACGCGAAAGCGUGGGGAGCAAACAGG